RNAcentral lists this ribosomal RNA (468 nucleotides) under uncultured bacterium. Its description in RNAcentral is "partial 16S ribosomal RNA". It matches the Rfam family "Bacterial small subunit ribosomal RNA", at positions 28 to 507 of the family's 1533-position model. The record is from RNAcentral.
GACGAACGCUGGCGGCGUGCUUAACACAUGCAAGUCGAACGGAAAGGCCCUGCUUUUGUGGGUUGCUCGAGUGGCGAACGGGUGAGUAACACGUGAGUAACCUGCCCUUGACUUUGGGAUAACUUCAGGAAACUGGGGCUAAUACCGGAUAGGAGCUCCUGCUGCAUGGUGGGGGUUGGAAAGUUUCGGCGGUUGUGGAUGGACUCGCGGGUUAUCAGCUUGUUGGUGGGGUAGUGACUUACCAAGGCUUUGACGGAUAGCCGGCCUGAGAGCUGGACCGGCCACCUGAGGACUACGAGACGGAGCAGACGCGUAUGGGAGGCAGCAGUGGGGAGUAUUACACAAUGGGCGGACGCCUGAUGCAGAGACGCCGCGUGCGGGAUGACGGCCUUCUGGUUGUAAACCGCUGUCGCCUGUGACGAAGCGAGAGUGACGGUAAUGAGUAAAGAAGCACCGGCUAACUACGUG